UUCUGAAAGUAGAAGUGUCUCUGCUUGGCCUCUCCAGAGUGGAUCAGCACAGUGGCAGUGAAAAUGAUGACUACAAGAAGUGUUUGUCUGUGGGUGUAAACAACCACCAAGGAGAUUGAGGACAGGCUGGGACAUCUUGCAUCAUCUUCCAGCAUUUGGAAGAUCAGCACUGUUGAAAUUCAGAUGAAGCAGAGGUACUGAAAGAUGCAAGUUGGGAAAUUAGUCAGGAAGCAUGGAAUACCGGCAUUGCAGUGCAAAGAGCUGGGACAGAAGAGGCAGAAUAGCAACAGAGGGUUUUCUUGGGAUACCUGACAUGAAUUGCACACCCACAGGGUUCAUCAUCACCCUACUCCUCUGAUUUUAGUUUUCAGAGACAGCAUGGUUAGUCCUUCAUCAUCCUGUCUGGUCCAGAUGGCAGAGACUCUCAGCAAAGCAGUUAUUCGCUAUGAGAUCGAUUGGAAAAGGACAGUCCCUCUCUAACAAUAACAAAGUUAUAUUCGGUGGAGACUGCAUCACAUCUAAGAGCAGUUAGGGGUUGGACUCAUGUAAGAUGAAGAUGAUCCUAUCAUUUUGGGCCUUCUUAUGUUCUCAUUUAAGGUAUAGUUUCCACAGCUGUAAUGAAUGCAAUGGUUUGCUUAUCAGAGUCUCUUGUCUUUCAGAAAGCAUGGGGAUAUCUUUGGACAAUGCCCUUGCUAAGCCAAGCAUAUGUUUCCUGCUCACUCUUUGCAUUAAUUCUCUCAGUCUUUAGCCUGAGAAAGAGCAAGAUGCUUAAAUUCCUUAGACUCCGCUGGAUGUUCACAAUUAAACACCUGGGUACCAA
Pogoniulus pusillus (Red-fronted tinkerbird) is the source of this 820-nucleotide long non-coding RNA. RefSeq lists it as uncharacterized. The transcript is spliced from 2 exons. The record is from RefSeq and is a predicted model, not a curated record. NCBI's taxonomy places the organism in Eukaryota, Metazoa, Chordata, Aves, Piciformes, Lybiidae.